UCGUCAUCAUGCCCGUACGGAGGAAAGCCGGUGCGAAACCGGCGCUGACCCGCAACCGUGAGCCGCCGUCACCGGCGGCGCAGCCGGAACGCUCCGUACGCGGUCGUGACCG
This 112-nucleotide non-coding RNA is filed under the name Streptomyces sp. The record is from RNAcentral. Lineage: Bacteria; Bacillati; Actinomycetota; Actinomycetes; Kitasatosporales; Streptomycetaceae.